UCUCAUUUCUGCUGGGUCAGUUUUUCUGUGCUGCUCCAUGAGAGCUGGGGAUGACUUUCACCAACCAGCAGUGGCUGCGCUGACAUUGAGCAAGAAGAUAAGAGCCAGGAUAUCAUACAGAAAGGCGGACCGGGAGGAAGCCAGGACAGAAAGGAAAUCAUUCAACACUGAAUGUUGCAUUCUUGAUUUCUAAUAAUGCCACCUGGAGCCCUACUUUCCAAGAUACAUUAUCACCACCUUUCGAUUCCCUGCUUCAGCUGCCUUAUUUUGGGUGGAACCAACCUACAUUUGCCUCCCCAAGCAGCAACUGUCAGAUAUUUAAACAAGGAGCUGACAGUGGGAGAAGUGAGGAACAAAGCCUGAGUCUCUAAAGAAAAGUCAGAUCUC
RNAcentral lists this long non-coding RNA (387 nucleotides) under Homo sapiens (human). Its description in RNAcentral is "HSALNT0093003". The record is from RNAcentral. Lineage: Eukaryota; Metazoa; Chordata; Mammalia; Primates; Hominidae.